Molecule: ribosomal RNA, 1125 nt
Filed under: Triticum aestivum (bread wheat)
Lineage: Eukaryota; Viridiplantae; Streptophyta; Magnoliopsida; Poales; Poaceae
Description: partial small subunit ribosomal RNA
Source: RNAcentral
AUGGGGGACAACCAGGGGUUGGUAAAGGCGUUGGAGAAGCUAGCUGAGCUCAUCACUGUCAAGGCAGAGGGUGUGGCUUCCCCAGGUGCGCUUGUUCUUCAGCCUGAGGUGAUACAGAAAAUAGAACUGAUGCCAAAUGAAAUCAAGAUGGAAGGGGUCACAAACUACCUAAUCUGGUCCGGAAGGGCAUUGCUAAUAUUGAGGACAAAGGGGCUGGAAGGCUAUGUCAGAGGGGAAGUAGAUGAACCGGUGAACAGGGCAAGUGAGGAGUGGAAGAAGUGGAGUGUCAUUGACUCUCUGGUGGUGGCAUGGCUGCUGAACUCCUUGACCCCAUCCAUUGCAGCAGCCGUGGAGACUCUUCCCCAUGCAGCAGAGGUAUGGAAAACCCUGGAAACAUUGUACUCCAGGAAAGGGAACAUAAUGCUUAUGGCACAGAUUGAGGAUAGAGUAAAUGAGCUAAAACAAGGGGAUAAGUCGGUGAUGGAGUAUGUAGCAGAAUUGCAGCAUUUGUGGGCUGACUUAGACCACUAUGAUCCACUGGAGUUACCACAUUCAGAAUGUAUAGUUGCUACUAAGAAGUGGGUAGAGCGUAAGAGAGUGAUGAAAUUCUUGAAGGGACUUAGCUCAGAAUUUGAAGGAAGGCUUGCUGGGUUGUUUCAUCAGCCAAAGCUCCCCUCGCUUGAGGAGGCAGUUGCAGCAAUGGCACAGGAGGAGGUCAGGUUGAAGUUGACCAGGACUGGAGAAGCGAAUGCAUCACGCUCAGCAUUUACUGUGUUUGAAUGGAAGGAGACAAGAGAGUGCUUCAACUGUGGAGAGAAAGGUCACAUAAGCAUCAAUUGCACAGCACAACGCAGAGAAAUACGUGGUAGGGGAAGAGGUUACAGCCGAGGUGGAUACCGGGGAGUUAGAGGCAGAGGUAACUCGAGGGGUUCGAAUUAUUCCAGUGGCUUCAAAGCAAACUUGGCUAACUUGGCAACGCAAGAAGAAGGGACAUCAACAACCUCUCAAGGGGAGUCGGAGAGUAGAAGCCAGGAGGACAACACCUUUGGGAACUUUGCCCACUUUGUCUACACAGGGGAAGGAGAGGAUGACUGGAAGGAAACUUGGGACAGGAACCAGGCGUAG